AACCCUAAAAUCCCCCCAACACUUUGAUUCUCACUGUGUCACGAUGAGAAUCAUCCGCUUUACUGGCAUCUGACUUUGGGAUGCCUCUUUGGGAAUCUUUUGCCCUUUCUAGGCUGAUUUCUUGAAAGUCUUUAUAAAUUUAUUGCCUGGAACAUUCUGACUGUCUGCUCAGUGAGGUUUUUUUGUGUGUGUGUGUGUGUGUUGAGCAGGAUUUUGGCUGUUACUUCCAAUCUGCUCCUCUUGUUUGAGCAACUUCACAGAUGAUGUAGCAUCACCCCGUUGCUCUACUGUGUUGUUUGCUUCAGGCAGAAGAGGACGUGCUUAGAAACAUGGAUGUCUGCUGUCCUUUGGAACUGGUGCAGCGUCUCACUGCCAGGUUUUUUAGUGUAAUUCCAGUGCCAGCAUCAUAGCAGAAGGGCAAGAGGAAGGUCCUGGUCAUUAGGGCUUCUGAGCAGGUCACCAGGUGCCCACAAAUUGCUGAGGGAAGACUCCAUGUGUGUAUCAAACCUCUUCUCCUGAUAUCAGCUGGAGACGACACAGACUCGGUGGUUCAGAGUGUCUGUUUCUCCGAGACCUCUGAAGAGCAGAGCCAAGGAAGGGCAAUAGCUGAUAAACCAUCUUAAAACUUAGGUAAGCAAGAUAAUCACCCCAUUCCCAGCACUUACAACCUCCUUUAUGUUAACAUGAUAAACUGACUACCUGAAUACCCAAG
Columba livia (rock pigeon) is the source of this 712-nucleotide long non-coding RNA. RefSeq lists it as uncharacterized. The record is from RefSeq and is a predicted model, not a curated record. The transcript is spliced from 3 exons. Lineage: Eukaryota; Metazoa; Chordata; Aves; Columbiformes; Columbidae.